GUAGGUGGCAAGCGUUGUCCGGAAUUAUUGGGCGUAAAGCGCGCGCAGGCGGUUCUUUAAGUCUGCUGUGAAAGCCCACGGCUCAACCGUGGAGGGUCAUUGGAAACUGGAGAACUUGAGUACAGAAGAGGAAAGCGGAAUUCCACGUGUAGCGGUGAAAUGCGUAGAGAUGUGGAGGAACACCAGUGGCGAAGGCGGCUUUCUGGUCUGUAACUGACGCUGAGGCGCGAAAGCGUGGGGAGCAAACAGGGAUUAGAUACCCUGGUAGUCCACGCCGUAAACGAUGAGUGCUAAGUGUUAGGGGGGUUUCCGCCCCCUUAGUGCUGCAGCUAACGCAUUAAGCACUCCGCCUGGGGAGUACGGCCGCAAGGCUG
Molecule: ribosomal RNA, 374 nt
Filed under: uncultured organism
Description: partial 16S ribosomal RNA
Rfam family: Bacterial small subunit ribosomal RNA
Source: RNAcentral